AUACGAAGGGUGCGAGCGUUGUUCGGAAUUAUUGGGCGUAAAGGGUUCGUAGGCGGGAUUGUAAGUCAAGUGUGAAAUCCCCGAGCUUAACUCGGGACGUGCAUUUGAAACUAUAGUUCUUGAGUCAUAGAGAGGGUAGUGGAAUUGUUGGUGUAGGAGUGACAUCCGUAGAGAUCAACAGGAACAUCAGAGGCGAAAGCGGCUACCUGGCUAUGUACUGACGCUGAGGAACGAAAGUGUGGGGAGCAAACAGGAUUAGAUACCCUGGUAGUCCACACCAUAAACGAUGAUAACUAGGUGUUGGGGGAGUUGACCCCCUCAGUACCGUAGCUCACGCGCUAAGUUAUCCGCCUGGGGAGUACGGCCGCAAGGCUAAA
This 377-nucleotide ribosomal RNA is filed under the name uncultured Silvanigrellaceae bacterium. RNAcentral's name for it is "bacterial SSU rRNA". It matches the Rfam family "Bacterial small subunit ribosomal RNA", at positions 523 to 898 of the family's 1533-position model. The record is from RNAcentral. Lineage: Bacteria; Pseudomonadati; Bdellovibrionota; Oligoflexia; Silvanigrellales; Silvanigrellaceae.